Molecule: long non-coding RNA, 591 nt
Organism: Cottoperca gobio
Lineage: Eukaryota; Metazoa; Chordata; Actinopteri; Perciformes; Bovichtidae
Exons: 4
Source: RefSeq, a predicted model, not a curated record
GAGGCUAAGCUAAAAGAGGCUCCCCCAUCGCAGAGGUGACGAAUACUUUGACAGCAGAUGCUCGGUAAAAAGGCAACACAUUGCUCCUGAUAGAGACUCUUGUGUGGACCUGACUGCAGCAGGGAACUUGUUGUGUGUUUGUGACUGUCAUGUGAAGUGUCAGUCUGUAACAUGACUCAGAGCGUCACAGGCGGAAGGUCACGGAGCAGCAGAACGGAACGGAAGCGGGAGUAAAAAGCCUGUCCGCCAUUGUGGAAAAUGACACAAAGUCGCCGUUUGUAACAACCAGAAGCAGCGGAUCGUCGACAGGUCUGACUUACGGGGAAACCGCCGCCUUGUAACCGUCACAGAGUGAUUGGACAGCCCGAGAGACGAGCCAGGAAAGCACCGAAGUGCAGAGAGAGGCAGGGGGAAGCCGUGGACAGUCUCACACACACAGCUCUCCGUCUCUGUUCCUGGAGGAUGUCUGCGACCACAGUCGAUCAGAGACCUAAAGGACAAGGAAAUAAAGUGCAAAACGGAUCAAUGCAUCAAAAGGAUGGUGUGAAUGAUGAUGAUUUUGAGCCUUAUCUAAGCGGCCAGACAAAUCAG